AAAAAAGGUAAGCUACUAAGAGCGAAUGGUGGAUGCCUUGACUGGUAAAGGCGAUGAAGGACGUACUAGACUGCGAUAAGCUACGGGGAGCUGUCAAGAAGCUUUGAUCCGUAGAUUUCCGAAUGGGGCAACCCAAUGUAUAGAGAUAUACAUUACCUAUAUAGGAGCGAACGAGGGGAAUUGAAACAUCUUAGUACCCUCAGGAAAAGAAAUCAAUAGAGAUUGCGUCAGUAGCGGCGAGCGAAAGCGCAAGAGGGCAAACCCAGUGCUUGCACUGGGGGUUGUAGGACUGCAAUGUGCAAGAGCUGAGUUUAGCAGAACAUUCUGGAAAGUAUAGCCAUAGAGGGUGAUAGUCCCGUAUGCGAAAAACAAAGCUUAGCUAGCAGUAUCCUGAGUAGGGCGGGACACGAGGAAUCCUGUCUGAAUCCGGGUCGACCACGAUCCAACCCUAAAUACUAAUACCAGAUCGAUAGUGCACAAGUACCGUGAGGGAAAGGUGAAAAGAACUGAGGUGAUCAGAGUGAAAUAGAACCUGAAACCAUUUGCUUACAAUCAUUCAGAGCACUAUGUAGCAAUACAGUGUGAUGGACUGCCUUUUGCAUAAUGAGCCUGCGAGUUGUGGUGUCUGGCAAGGUUAAGCAAACGCGAAGCCGUAGCGAAAGCGAGUCUGAAUAGGGCGCUUAGUCAGAUGCUGCAGACCCGAAACGAAGUGAUCUAUCCAUGAGCAAGUUGAAGCUAGUGUAAGAACUAGUGGAGGACUGAACCCAUAGGCGUUGAAAAGCCCCGGGAUGACUUGUGGAUAGGGGUGAAAGGCCAAUCAAACUUCGUGAUAGCUGGUUCUCUCCGAAAUAUAUUUAGGUAUAGCGUUGUGUCGUAAUAUAAGGGGGUAGAGCACUGAAUGGGCUAGGGCAUACACCAAUGUACCAAACCCUAUCAAACUCCGAAUACCUUAUAUGUAAUCACAGCAGUCAGGCGGCGAGUGAUAAAAUCCGUCGUCAAGAGGGAAACAACCCAGACUACCAGCUAAGGUCCCUAAAUCUUACUUAAGUGGAAAACGAUGUGAAGUUACUUAAACAACCAGGAGGUUGGCUUAGAAGCAGCCAUCCUUUAAAGAAAGCGUAAUAGCUCACUGGUCUAGUGAUUUUGCGCGGAAAAUAUAACGGGGCUAAAGUAAGUACCGAAGCUGUAGACUUGCGCACAACUUAGAUUAUUUAAGUUUAGAAUAUGAGAAACUAAGUUAUAUUUUUACUGAUUUUUAUAGAGUAAAGAUAGAAAUAAAACUUAGUAAAAUCAGUAAAAAUAUUCUUAGGCUAAAGUUAAGUAGUUUAAGUUGUGUGCAAGUGGUAGGAGAGCGUUCUAUUUGCGUCGAAGGUAUACCGGUAAGGAGUGCUGGAGCGAAUAGAAGUGAGCAUGCAGGCAUGAGUAGCGAUAAUUAAUGUGAGAAUCAUUAACGCCGUAAACCCAAGGUUUCCUACGCGAUGCUCGUCAUCGUAGGGUUAGUCGGGUCCUAAGUCGAGUCCGAAAGGGGUAGACGAUGGCAAAUUGGUUAAUAUUCCAAUACCAACAUUAGUGUGCGAUGGAAGGACGCUUAGGGCUAAGGGGGCUAGCGGAUGGAAGUGCUAGUCUAAGGUCGUAGGAGGUUAUACAGGCAAAUCCGUAUAACAAUACUCCGAGAACUGAAAGGCUUUUUGAAGUCUUCGGAUGGAUAGAAGAACCCCUGAUGCCGUCGAGCCAAGAAAAGUUUCUAAGUUUAGCUAAUGUUGCCCGUACCGUAAACCGACACAGGUGGGUGGGAUGAGUAUUCUAAGGCGCGUGGAAGAACUCUCUUUAAGGAACUCUGCAAAAUAGCACCGUAUCUUCGGUAUAAGGUGUGGUUAGCUUCGUACUAGGAUUUACUCCGAAAGCGAAGAAACUUACAACAAAGAGUCCCUCCCGACUGUUUACCAAAAACACAGCACUCUGCUAACUCGUAAGAGGAUGUAUAGGGUGUGACGCCUGCCCGGUGCUCGAAGGUUAAUUGAUGGGGUUAGCAUUAGCGAAGCUCUUGAUCGAAGCCCGAGUAAACGGCGGCCGUAACUAUAACGGUCCUAAGGUAGCGAAAUUCCUUGUCGGUUAAAUACCGACCUGCAUGAAUGGCGUAACGAGAUGGGAGCUGUCUCAAAGAGGGAUCCAGUGAAAUUGUAGUGGAGGUGAAAAUUCCUCCUACCCGCGGCAAGACGGAAAGACCCCGUGGACCUUUACUACAGCUUGACACUGCUAUUUGGAUAAGAAUGUGCAGGAUAGGUGGGAGGCUUUGAGUAUAUGACGCCAGUUGUAUAGGAGCCAUUGUUGAGAUAC
RNAcentral lists this ribosomal RNA (2337 nucleotides) under Campylobacter jejuni subsp. jejuni 81-176-UMCW9. RNAcentral describes it as "bacterial LSU rRNA". It matches the Rfam family "Bacterial large subunit ribosomal RNA", at positions 1 to 2200 of the family's 2925-position model. Lineage: Bacteria; Pseudomonadati; Campylobacterota; Epsilonproteobacteria; Campylobacterales; Campylobacteraceae. The record is from RNAcentral.